GGCCCCGUGGCGCAACUGAAUAGCGCAUCAGAUUUCGGCUCUGAGGGUUGGGGGUUUGAAUCCCUCCGGGGUCAC
This 75-nucleotide transfer RNA is filed under the name Arenibacter algicola. RNAcentral's name for it is "tRNA-Arg". It matches the Rfam family "tRNA". From Rfam's summary of the family: Transfer RNA (tRNA) molecules are approximately 80 nucleotides in length. Their secondary structure includes four short double-helical elements and three loops (D, anti-codon, and T loops). The record is from RNAcentral. RNAcentral also lists the same sequence under 4 other names. Lineage: Bacteria; Pseudomonadati; Bacteroidota; Flavobacteriia; Flavobacteriales; Flavobacteriaceae.